This 692-nucleotide long non-coding RNA is filed under the name Capsicum annuum. Its description in RNAcentral is "long non-coding RNA (CANN_LNC007116)". Lineage: Eukaryota; Viridiplantae; Streptophyta; Magnoliopsida; Solanales; Solanaceae. The record is from RNAcentral.
ACUGUCCGCUUCCAGUCUCUUUCUAAUGCACAGAUACCCCCUCAUCAAGUUAUCCUUCUAUUUGUUUGUAAUAAUUGUUUGUUGCAUUUCUUCCCUCGGUAUAGAAUUCAGAAAGACUUGGUGGACCCGAAAAAGCUUCAGGCAACUCUAAGUGAUGAAACUCUUGGUCAGACUUGUGAUCGAUCUGAAGACAGCUCUUGAGACAGUUUCACUUCUAGAAGCUCAACUGAAAGAGAUGAACCCAAAUUUUGACUCGAUCUCUAAGUAUGCACUCAUAAUCAUUUAUAGAUAAGGUUGUAGCAGACUAUGUCUCUUGAUAUUAAUUGUUUAUAGUUUCUACUGUCACUAGGUAGCGGAAGAAAGUAUCUGUGUACAAUGAAAGAGUUCAAAAGCUUAAUUCUGUUACUCAAGAGCGCGAUGAUAUUAAAAAAUAAUAUGAUGAGUAGAGGAAGAGAAGGUUAGUUCUGUCAAACCUUCAACUUUUAUUUCUCUCUUCCAUAUGCCAAUGCUUUUCCUUCAUCGGCUUACAACAUCUCUGUAGGUUGGAUGAGUUUAUGGCAGGUUUUAAUACCGUAUCUUUGAAGCUUUAAGAAAUUAUCAGGUAUUCAGCUCAGUUUUGACUUGCUUUUCUUAUCUAAAAAAUUUUCCCAUCUAAUUCUCAAGUUAAAUUUCAUCUGGGUAAGUGAUUCUGC